Molecule: long non-coding RNA, 305 nt
Organism: Cydia splendana
Lineage: Eukaryota; Metazoa; Arthropoda; Insecta; Lepidoptera; Tortricidae
Exons: 2
Source: RefSeq, a predicted model, not a curated record
UCUGUCUGUCCGUGUAUGUCACAGCCACUUUUUUCCGAAACUAUAAGAACACUGUUGAAACUUGGUAAGUAGAUGUAUUCUGUGAACCGCAUUAAGAUUUUCACACAAAAAUAGAAAAAAAAAACAAUAAAUUUUGGGGGUUCCCCAUACUUAGAACUGAAACUCAAAAAAAUUUUUUUCAUCAAACCUAUACGUGUGGGGUAUCUAUGGAUAGGUCUUCAAAAAUGAUAUUGAGGUUCCUAAUAUCAUUUUUUUCUAAACUGAAUAGUUUGCGCGAGAGACACUUCCAAAGUGGUAAAAAGUGU